RNAcentral lists this ribosomal RNA (554 nucleotides) under Aethalochroa sp. MN264. Its description in RNAcentral is "partial 16S ribosomal RNA". It matches the Rfam family "Bacterial large subunit ribosomal RNA", at positions 1796 to 2622 of the family's 2925-position model. The record is from RNAcentral. Lineage: Eukaryota; Metazoa; Arthropoda; Insecta; Mantodea; Toxoderidae.
UCGCCUGUUUAUCAAAAACAUGGUUUCUUGAUAUUUAUAAGAGAUUUAACCUGCCCACUGAGGAUUUUAAAGGGCCGCAGUAUUUUGACUGUGCAAAGGUAGCAUAAUCAUUAGUCUUUUAAUUAAAGGCUGGUAUGAAUGGUUGGACGAGGUAAAAACUGUCUUAUUUUAUAUGAAAAUUGAAUUUAGAUUUUAAGUAAAAAGACUUAAAUGUUAUUAAGGGACGAGAAGACCCUAUAGAGUUUAAUAUACGUAGUUUUUAUCAAGUUAAAAAUUAAUUUUUGAUUAUUAUAAAGUUUAUUUAAUUGGGGUGAUUAAAAGAUAUGAUAAACUCUUUUUUAAUUUUAAUAUUAUAAAUAGUUUUAAGAUCCAUAUGUAGUGAUUAUAAGAUUAAAUUACCUUAGGGAUAACAGCAUAAUUCUUUUUGAGAGUUCAAAUUGAGAAGAGAGAUUGUGACCUCGAUGUUGGAUUAAGAUAAAUUAUGGGUGUAGAUGUUCAAUAAUUAAGUCUGUUCGACUUUUAAAUUCUUACAUGAUCUGAGUUCAAACCGGAGA